AUCCAGGUAACGAGUCCCAAAUAGGACGAAAUGCGCAUCCUAGAU
Molecule: non-coding RNA, 45 nt
Filed under: Trichobilharzia regenti
Lineage: Eukaryota; Metazoa; Platyhelminthes; Trematoda; Strigeidida; Schistosomatidae
Source: RNAcentral